This 469-nucleotide ribosomal RNA is filed under the name Septorioides sp. KDB-2015a. Its description in RNAcentral is "eukaryotic LSU rRNA". The stretch from base 129 to 282 matches the Rfam family "5.8S ribosomal RNA". The record is from RNAcentral. Lineage: Eukaryota; Fungi; Ascomycota; Dothideomycetes; Botryosphaeriales; Septorioideaceae.
GUUCAUAACCCUUUGUUGUCCGACUCUGUUGCCUCCGGGGCGACCCUGCCUUCGGGCGGGGGCUCCGGGUGGACACUUCAAACUCUUGCGUAACUUUGCAGUCUGAGUAAACUUAAUUAAUAAAUUAAAACUUUUAACAACGGAUCUCUUGGUUCUGGCAUCGAUGAAGAACGCAGCGAAAUGCGAUAAGUAAUGUGAAUUGCAGAAUUCAGUGAAUCAUCGAAUCUUUGAACGCACAUUGCGCCCCCUGGUAUUCCGGGGGGCAUGCCUGUUCGAGCGUCAUUUCACCACUCAAGCCUCGCUUGGUAUUGGGCAACGCGGUCCGCCGCGUGCCUCAAAUCGACCGGCUGGGUCUUCUGUCCCCUAAGCGUUGUGGAAACUAUUCGCUAAAGGGUGUUCGGGAGGCUACGCCGUAAAACAACCCCAUUUCUAAGGUUGACCUCGGAUCAGGUAGGGAUACCCGCUGAAC